This 1346-nucleotide ribosomal RNA is filed under the name uncultured bacterium. RNAcentral's name for it is "partial 16S ribosomal RNA". It matches the Rfam family "Bacterial small subunit ribosomal RNA", at positions 28 to 1381 of the family's 1533-position model. The record is from RNAcentral.
GACGAACGCUGGCGGCGUGCUUAACACAUGCAAGUCGAACGGAAAGGCCCUGCUUUUGUGGGGUGCUCGAGUGGCGAACGGAUGAGUAACACGUGAGUAACCUGCCCUUGACUUUGGGAUAACUUCAGGAAACUGGGGCUAAUACCGGAUAGGAGCUCCUGCUGCAUGGUGGGGGUUGGAAAGUUUCGGCGGUUGGGGAUGGACUCGCGGCUUAUCAGCUUGUUGGUGGGGUAGUGGCUUACCAAGGCUUUGACGGGUAGCCGGCCUGAGAGGGUGACCGGCCACAUUGGGACUGAGAUACGGCCCAGACUCCUACGGGAGGCAGCAGUGGGGAAUAUUGCACAAUGGGCGGAAGCCUGAUGCAGCAACGCCGCGUGCGGGAUGACGGCCUUCGGGUUGUAAACCGCUUUCGCCUGUGACGAAGCGUGAGUGACGGUAAUGGGUAAAGAAGCACCGGCUAACUACGUGCCAGCAGCCGCGGUGAUACGUAGGGUGCGAGCGUUGUCCGGAUUUAUUGGGCGUAAAGGGCUCGUAGGUGGUUGAUCGCGUCGGAAGUGUAAUCUUGGGGCUUAACCCUGAGCGUGCUUUCGAUACGGGUUGACUUGAGGAAGGUAGGGGAGAAUGGAAUUCCUGGUGGAGCGGUGGAAUGCGCAGAUAUCAGGAGGAACACCAGUGGCGAAGGCGGUUCUCUGGGCCUUUCCUGACGCUGAGGAGCGAAAGCGUGGGGAGCGAACAGGCUUAGAUACCCUGGUAGUCCACGCUGUAAACGGUGGGUACUAGGUGUGGGGUCCAUUCCACGGGUUCCGUGCCGUAGCUAACGCUUUAAGUACCCCGCCUGGGGAGUACGGCCGCAAGGCUAAAACUCAAAGGAAUUGACGGGGCCCCGCACAAGCGGCGGAGCAUGCGGAUUAAUUCGAUGCAACGCGUAGAACCUUACCUGGGUUUGACAUGGAUCGGGAGUGCUCAGAGAUGGGUGUGCCUCUUUUGGGGUCGGUUCACAGGUGGUGCAUGGCUGUCGUCAGCUCGUGUCGUGAGAUGUUGGGUUAAGUCCCGCAACGAGCGCAACCCUUGUUCACUGUUGCCAGCACGUUAUGGUGGGGACUCAGUGGAGACCGCCGGGGUCAACUCGGAGGAAGGUGGGGAUGACGUCAAGUCAUCAUGCCCCUUAUGUCCAGGGCUUCACGCAUGCUACAAUGGCUGGUACAGAGAGUGGCGAGCCUGUGAGGGUGAGCGAAUCUCGGAAAGCCGGUCUCAGUUCGGAUUGGGGUCUGCAACUCGACCUCAUGAAGUCGGAGUCGCUAGUAAUCGCAGAUCAGCAACGCUGCGGUGAAUACGUUCCCGGGGCU